This is an RNA transcript of Numida meleagris (helmeted guineafowl), 3957 nucleotides long. It is a transcript of the gene named kinesin family member 23, with no coding region annotated. The transcript is spliced from 25 exons. The record is from RefSeq and is a predicted model, not a curated record. Lineage: Eukaryota; Metazoa; Chordata; Aves; Galliformes; Numididae.
GCUGCGCGGUGACGCCACGCGGCCGCGCGCGCUGAUUGGUCGGAUUUGAACUGAACGGGCGCGCGGCCGCCGGGUGAGGCAGCGCGGAGCUCGGACCCUGAGGUGGCCGUCCCCGCACCGCGACCCCCGCACCAUGAAGGCGGCUAGGGCCAAGACCCCGCGGAGGCCGGCGCUGAAGAAGCCGUCGCCCCCCGGUCCGAAGGAUCCCGUGGGGGUGUACUGCAGGGUGCGGCCGCUGAGCCGCCCGGACCAGGAGUGCUGCAUCGAAGUGAUCAGCGAGAACACGGUGCAGAUCCAUCCGCCCGACGGAUACAGGAUAUUCCGAAACGGGGAAUACCGGGAGACUCAGUAUUCCUUUAAAGAAGUGUUUGGUACCCUUGUUGCUCAAAAGGAGCUUUUUGACGUCGUGGCUAAACCUCUAGUGGAAGAUCUCAUUCGUGGGAAAAACGGUCUCCUUUUUACAUAUGGGGUGACAGGCAGUGGGAAAACCCACACUAUGACGGGAUCUCCUGGUGAUGGAGGACUUCUCCCACGGUGUUUGGAUAUGAUCUUCAACAGCAUAGGACCAUUCCAGGCCAAAAGAUUUGUUUUUAAGCUUGAUGACAAGAAUGGUGUGGAUGUUCAGUGUGAAGUAGAUGCUCUGUUAGAGCGACAAAAAAGAGAUGCCAUGCCUGUUCCCAAAACUCCUUCUGGCAAGCGACAGAUCGAUCCAGAGUUUGCUGAUAUGAUCAACGUGCAAGAUCACUGCAAAGUGGAAGAAGUUGAUGAAGAUAAUGUCUACAGUGUCUUCGUCUCCUACAUCGAGAUCUACAACAACUACAUUUAUGACCUCCUGGAGGAGACUCCAUUUGAGCUGAUAAAACCAAAGUGGAACAAUUGCAACACUCCUGUGCGAAACGGUGACUUUAUACCUCCACAGUCCAAAAUACUUCGUGAGGACCAGAAUCACAACAUGUAUGUCACGGGUUGCACAGAAGUAGAGGUGAAAUCUACAGAAGAAGCUUUUGAAGUCUUUUGGAAAGGGCAGAAGAAGAGGCGUAUUGCAAACACUCAGCUGAAUCGAGAAUCUAGUCGGUCUCAUGGUGUCUUCAUGAUAAAGUUGGCUCAGGCACCUCUGGAUGCAGAUGGAGAUAAUGUGCUGCAGGAGAAGGAACAGAUCACUUUAAGCCAGCUCUCCUUAGUUGAUCUAGCUGGAAGUGAAAGGACCAAUAGAACAAAAGCUGAAGGGAACAGGUUGCGAGAAGCAGGUAAUAUUAAUCAGUCAUUAAUGACAUUGAGAACAUGUAUUGAAGUUCUACGGGAAAACCAGAUGUAUGGGACAAAUAAGAUGGUUCCAUACAGAGAUUCCAAACUGACUCACCUCUUCAAGAACUAUUUUGAUGGUGAAGGAAAAGUGCGUAUGAUUGUGUGUGUUAAUCCUAAAGCUGAGGACUACGAGGAAAGCUUGCAAGUCAUGCGUUUUGCAGAGAUGACCCAGGAGGUUGAAGUUGCAAGGCCUGUAGACAGACCUCUGUGUGGCUUAACGCCGGGGCGGCGCUUUAGGAAUCAGGCCUUCAGGGAGGAGCUGGCCCGCAAACUGGAGAUCCGAGGUGGCCCAAUUAAUGGAGAAACAGAAGAGCAAUCUGCUUCAGAAAUAUUUCUGCAGAACUUUCCUCCUCUGCCUUCGUGUGAGCUAUUGGAUAUUAAUGAUGAUCAGACGCUUCCAAAGCUUACUGAAGUCCUGGAGCAACGCCAUAAACUACGACAAAAGUUGUCAGAGGAGUUUGCCAAAAAUGUGCUUACAUUUAAAACUGUGCUGCGAGAACUUGAUUCCAGCGUUACGUCCAAAGAAAACUAUAUUCAAGGAAAACUGUCUGAAAAAGAGAAAAUAAUAACAGGACAGAAAACGGAGUUAGAACGCCUGGAGAAGAAAAUCAAAACUUUGGAAUACAAGAUUGAGAUUUUAGAGAAAACUGCUACAAUUUAUGAAGAAGAUAAGCGUAAUCUUCAGCAAGAACUAGAAAGCAAGAGCCAGAAACUGCAACGUCAGGCUUCUGACAAGCGUAGGUUGGAGGCACGCCUGCAAGGCAUGGUUGCUGAAACAACCAUGAAAUGGGAGAAGGAGUGUGAGCGUCGUGUAGCAGCAAAGCAGCUGGAAAUGCAGAACAAACUUUGGGUCAAAGAUGAAAAACUGAAGCAGCUGAAGGCCAUUGUUACUGAACCAAAGAAUGAAAAGCCAGAGAGGCCUUCCCGGGAGAGAGACAGAGAGAAGCCUAUUCAGAGAUCAGUGUCUCCUCCACCAGUACCUCCUUCUAGUAACUUUAUUACUCAGGUCCCUAACAGCCAGCGGCUCGUGAGCAACCAGCAGGUGCACAGACGUUCUAAUUCUUGUAGCAGCAUUUCUGUGGCUUCCUGUGUUAUGGAAUGGGAGCAGAAAACCCCUUCGCACAAGCAUACCGAUGGCACUUCUAAAACAAGGACUAGACAACAAGAACCAGAACAAAGUAGAGGCUAUAACACCUCAGACAGAAGGCGAGGGAUGUGCUGGACUGGAGUCACUGAGGUUCCCAAGCGUAGAGAUGAGCUAGAAAUAGAAGAGGAUCAAUGCUGCAGGAACGCACCUCCAGUUCGUCUCAGACACAGACGGUCGCGCUCAGCUGGGGAGAGAUGGGUAGAUCAUAAGCCACCUUCUAAUCUGCCCACUGACACAGUCAUGCAGCCACAUGUCCCUCAUGCCAUCACGGUAGCGGCUGCAAGUGAAAAGGCUCUAGCUAAGUGUGACAAGUACAUGCUGACGCACCAGGAGCUAGCCUCUGAUGGGGAGAUUGAAACAAAACUAAUUAAGGGUGAUGUUUUCAAAACCAGAGGUGGUGGACAGGCUGUGCAGUUCACAGAGAUAGAGACUCUAAAGCAAGAAUCUCCAACUGGUCGAAAGCGAAGAUCAUCACCUUCCAAUGCUGAUCCACCAGAGGAUGCUGCAGACUCUGAAUGGACUGAUGUGGAGACCAGAUGUUCUGUGGCAGUGGAAAUGAGGGCAGGAUCUGCCCUUGGACCUGGCUAUCAGCAUCACGCUCAGCCCAAAUAGGUGCUGGCAAUGCUGCGGAAGUCACCUGUUCAACUCAGGGGAAGACGAUUUGCAGUUUUGCAAGACAUGUUUACAGGGAGGAGAGAGGGCUGGAGAGGCGAAGAAAGCCAUGAACUUAACGUACUGCUGCGUUGGAAUCCUGGUGAUUUUUAUCAGACUUAUCUGCUGCCAGUGAUAAACUAACUGCUUUGUUAUCACUACAAGCUUGUAUUUUUUUUUUAUACUGGCCUAUGCUAGGCAAUGGUUAAAUGGAAAAUAAUUUUUGCAAAGCUGAAGAAGCAUAUGAGUGGGUGCAAGUACUUUCCGUGGACGGGGGGAGGUUCUACCAUUGCAUGCUGUGGACUUCUGAAGAAAUCCUUCUGUCUUGUACGUAUGAAGCCCUCGUUAUUAAGCUGUACUUUUAUAGAGUAAUGACACGAGGCUUUUGCCUUGCAUAUUUUUCAGCUCUUUGUAGAAUGUACCUGUAUUCUGGUCGCUAUCCCUUUCUUGUCAGGCCCUCUGUUUUGAAGAGGUGUAAAUGCUGCGAUGUAUUCAGAUGCAGUAAUGCACUUUAAGAGUGUUCCUAUGCCAUUUCAUAUAUUAUUAUAGCCAGCAGCAGCUUGGUAAUGUAAAUUUCUUCUUGGAAGAAUUACCUUUAAUUAUUUAAUAUACAAAUCAGCUUGUGAAAACAACUUCAAUCUCAAUCUUCUGGUCUUCAUGGUAACAAAGCAAGAAUACUGAGAUGAUGAAUAAUAAUGACUUGACAUCAUGGCUACUUUAUUUUGUAGUGCAAGUAAGUAACUAAGUGUUUUACAUCUGUAGAUAUGGGGGAAAAGGGUGAUGUGCUCACAGAUAUGGUGAGGGCCUUAUAUGUGUGGCUCUGCAAGCAUGUUAAAAUAAAUACUUUUAUUCAA